AUGAACGCUGGCGGCGUGCCUAACACAUGCAAGUCGAGCGGGGAUCCGGGAAGUAGCAAUACGGACUGGAUUUCAGCGGCGGACGGGUGAGUAACACGUGAGCAAUCUGCCUUCAGCUGGGGAAUAACAUUGUGAAAACAGUGCUAAUACCGCAUGACAUCCGACCGGGACAUCCCGGACGGAUCAAAGGAGAAAUCCGGCAGGAGAUGAGCUCGCGUCCGAUUAGCUGGUUGGUGAGGUAACGGCCCACCAAGGCGACGAUCGGUAGCCGAACUGAGAGGUUGAUCGGCCACAUUGGGACUGAGACACGGCCCAGACUCCUACGGGAGGCAGCAGUGGGGAAUAUUGGGCAAUGGGCGCAAGCCUGACCCAGCAACGCCGCGUGAAGGACGAAGGCCUUCGGGUUGUAAACUUCUUUGAUCAGGGACGAAACAAAUGACGGUACCUGAAGAACAAGCCACGGCUAACUACGU
This 473-nucleotide ribosomal RNA is filed under the name uncultured bacterium. RNAcentral's name for it is "bacterial SSU rRNA". It matches the Rfam family "Bacterial small subunit ribosomal RNA", at positions 29 to 506 of the family's 1533-position model. The record is from RNAcentral.